Molecule: ribosomal RNA, 463 nt
Filed under: uncultured bacterium
Lineage: Bacteria
Description: partial 16S ribosomal RNA
Rfam family: Bacterial small subunit ribosomal RNA
Source: RNAcentral
GACGAACGCUGGCGGCGUGCUUAACACAUGCAAGUCGAACGGUAAGGCCCUUCGGUGUACACGAGUGGCUAACGGGUGAGUAACGCGUGAGUAACCUGCCCUUCACUCUGUGAUAACAGUUGGAAACGGCUGCUAAUACCGUAUAUUCAGCUCCUGUCGCAUAGUGGGGGUUUGAAAGUUUUGGUGGUGGAGGAUGGGCUCGCGUCCUAUCAUCUUGUUGGUGGGGUGAUGGACUACCAAGGCGUCGAGGGGUAGCCGGCCUGAGAGGGCGACCGGCCACAUUGGGACUGAGAUACGGCCCAAAAUCCUACGGGAGGCAGCAGUGGGGAAUAUUGCACAAUGGGCGGAAGCCUGAUGCAGCAACGCCGCGUGCGGGAUGACGGCCUUCGGGUUGUAAACCGAUUUCAGCAGGGACGAAGCGCAAGUGACGGUACCUGCAGAAGAAGCACCGGCUAACUACGUG